RNAcentral lists this ribosomal RNA (445 nucleotides) under Parvimonas sp. oral taxon 110. RNAcentral describes it as "bacterial SSU rRNA". It matches the Rfam family "Bacterial small subunit ribosomal RNA", at positions 28 to 456 of the family's 1533-position model. The record is from RNAcentral. Lineage: Bacteria; Bacillati; Bacillota; Tissierellia; Tissierellales; Peptoniphilaceae.
GACGAACGCUGGCGGCGUGCUUAACACAUGCAAGUCGAACGUGAUUUUUGUGGAAAGCUCUUCGGGGACGGAAGCGAAAUGAAAGUGGCGAACGGGUGAGUAACACGUGAGCAACCUACCUUACACAGGGGGAUAGCCGUUGGAAACGACGAUUAAUACCGCAUGAGACCACAAAGCCACAUGGCUUAGGGGUAAAAGAUUUAUCGGUGUAAGAUGGGCUCGCGUCUGAUUAGCUAGUUGGAAGGGUAAAGGCCUACCAAGGCAACGAUCAGUAGCCGGUCUGAGAGGAUGAACGGCCACAUUGGAACUGAGACACGGUCCAAACUCCUACGGGAGGCAGCAGUGGGGAAUAUUGCACAAUGGGGGGAACCCUGAUGCAGCGACGCCGCGUGAGCGAAGAAGGUUUUCGAAUCGUAAAGCUCUGUCCUAUGAGAAGAUAAUGACG